RNAcentral lists this ribosomal RNA (397 nucleotides) under uncultured bacterium. RNAcentral describes it as "bacterial SSU rRNA". It matches the Rfam family "Bacterial small subunit ribosomal RNA", at positions 405 to 793 of the family's 1533-position model. The record is from RNAcentral.
GUGAAGAAGGCCUUCGGGUUGUAAAGCACUUUCAGUAGGGAGGAAGGUAGUGUAGUUAACACCUGCAUUAUUUGACGUUACCUACAGAAGAAGCACCGGCUAACUCCGUGCCAGCAGCCGCGGUAAUACGGAGGGUGCGAGCGUUAAUCGGAAUUACUGGGCGUAAAGCGCAUGCAGGCGGCCUGUUAAGUCAGAUGUGAAAGCCCGGGGCUUAACCUCGGAAUUGCAUUUGAAACUGGCAGGCUAGAGUCUUGUAGAGGGGGGUAGGAAUUUCAGGUGUAGCGGUGAAAUGCGUAGAGAUCUGAAGGAAUACCAGUGGCGAAGGCGGCCCCCUGGACAAAGACUGACGCUCAGAUGCGAAAGCGUGGGGAGCAAACAGGAUUAGAUACCCUGGUAG